This 203-nucleotide non-coding RNA is filed under the name Bacteroides sp. The record is from RNAcentral. Lineage: Bacteria; Pseudomonadati; Bacteroidota; Bacteroidia; Bacteroidales; Bacteroidaceae.
ACCUUUGCAGACAUAACAGGUGUUCAUGCCGUGCCGUCCGGCCGUAUGGAUGAAAAGGGAAUCGGGUGAAAAUCCCGAACAGUACCCGCUGCUGUAAUCUUGUUUGCAAAGCCUGACAAACAGCAACUCCACUGAAGGACAGACCUUUGGGAAGGAGUCAGGCUUAAGAAAGUCAGAAGACCUGCCUGUACGUUCAGUUCUUG